UACAGAGGGUGCAAGCAUUGAUCGGAAUUACUGGGCGUAAAGGGCGCGUAGGCGGUUAGAAAAGUCAGAUGUGAAAUUCCGGGGCUCAACCUCGGAGCUGCAUUUGAAACUUUUUAGCUAGAGUUCAGUUAGGGAAAACGGAAUUCCACAUGUAGCGGUGAAAUGCGUAGAUAUGUGGAGGAACACCGGUGGUGAAGACGGUUUUCUGGGCUGAUACUGACGCUGAGGCGCGAAAGCAAGGGGAGCAAACAGG
Molecule: ribosomal RNA, 253 nt
Filed under: uncultured bacterium
Lineage: Bacteria
Description: partial 16S ribosomal RNA
Rfam family: Bacterial small subunit ribosomal RNA
Source: RNAcentral